CACAAUUAGAUUACCUUUGAUUGCGUUUACCUAAACUAUGAAUUUGUCACAAUUUACUGUUACCAUUACUAUUACUGCUUAAUUUUAACAGUAAUGAUAACAGUAACAAUAGAUGUAACAAAUUUAUUAUUUUCCUACUGUGAAUGCAAUCUGCAGCCAUUGUGCCUAGAGUGUAGGUGCAUUAAGACGAGACAAAUCGAACCAACUCCAAAUUUGUUGGAAGGAUUACGAAAAAACCUGAAGCUUGGUUUAAAUUUUCAGGAGAAAAAUGGCCAAACCUUGACCCACAAAGAACGAUGCCUUCGUUGCUUCCUUCUCCAAGGUUCUUCAACUUCUGGAACCCACCUAGACCUCCCAUUGCUCUUCUUCCUCUUUCCCCUUCUUCGACAUCCACGCUUCCAUUUCUCUCUCUCACAGUCACACCCCACAGAAUCUUUCCAUCUGCCAUGGCUAUGUCCUUCUCUUCUUCCACUUCCACUCCCAAAACCCAGCUCGACCACGGCGAUCAAAACCUCUCGCAAGUCCUCAAAUACCACAACCAGACCAAGCACGGCUUCGCCAACUACGCCAGAGGCCCCCAUGGCCUCGAUUGGGCCAAUCAGCCCAACCCCUUCCGCCGCUACAUCUCUGCUCCUCUUCUUCCUCUUUCCCAUUUCCCAAUUCUCAACCAAACCGCCGCAUCAGACGAUGAACUCCAUGAAGCUCCUCUUUAUGAUUCUCUAUUCGUCUCGUUGCCUCCUCCAAAACCCAUCUGUAAAGCCACAAUUUCUCAAUUCUUCUACGACUCUUUGGCUCUUUCUGCUUGGAAAUCUACCGGGUUUUCCACUUGGUCGCUGAGAGUUAAUCCCAGUAGCGGGAAUUUGCAUCCGACUGAAGCGUAUUUGAUUGCUCCGCCUGUAAACUCGCUGUCAGAUUGUGGUUUCGUUGCGCAUUAUGCUCCUAAAGAGCACUCGUUGGAGAUUAGAGCUCAAAUCCCAUCUGGGUUUUUCUCUAAAUUCUUCCCUGAGAACAGUUUUCUUAUUGGGUUGUCGUCGAUUUUCUGGCGGGAGGCUUGGAAGUACGGCGAGCGAGCGUUUCGGUAUUGCAAUCACGACGUUGGCCACGCCAUUGCGGCGGUUGCCAUGGCCGCUGCAGGACUUGGGUGGGAUGUGAAGGUUCUUGAUGGAUUGGGCUAUGCUGAUUUGAAGAAGCUCAUGGGGCUGCACACAUUCCCUGAAUUCGAAGUUCCCUUGCAGCCGGUGAAGGGUUCGUUUCCAGUGAUUGAAUUCGAGCAUCCUGAUUGUGUGCUUGCUGUUUUCCCUAAUGACGCUGCCGACUUUUCCAUGAAUUACGAGGAGUUAAGCUCCGCAAUAAUGAAAUUCAGUGAGUUAGAAUGGAAAGGAAAGCCAAAUUUGCUCAGCAAACAGCACAUAUGUUGGGAUAUAAUUUACAGAACGGCCAUGGCCGUGGAGAAGCCAUUAACAAGCGAAAGUAGAUCUUUAGUUGAGCCAUUUCAGAGCAGUGGGGUUCUUGGUGAACGUAUAUACAAGGGUUUUACAGGGAGAGAAAUUGUGCGGAAGCGCAGGAGCGCAGUAGACAUGGAUGGUGUUACAACAAUGGCGAGAGACACAUUUUAUCAGAUUCUGUUGCAUUGUUUGCCUUCAGGUUCUGGAGAAGAGGAGAAGCAAAGGAGAGGAUUGGCAUUGCCAUUUCGUGCUCUUCCAUGGGAAGCUGAAGUUCAUGCUGCUCUGUUUGUUCACAGAGUGGUGGGAUUGCCACAGGGUCUGUACUUUUUUAUGAGAAAUGAAGAUCAUUUCGAUGAGCUGAAGAAAGCAACCAAUUCAGAUUUUAAGUGGGUGAAACCUGAUGGUUGUCCCAGUGGCCUCCCUCUGUAUGAACUACGGAGAGGCAAUUAUCAGCCACUUUCCAAGCGAUUGUCAUGUCAUCAGUGCAUGAAACGCUUGGGUUGAAAGGAUCAAACUUCCAGAGUCUAUAUCACUUCACUGUGGGAGGUCCUGUCUUAGACAAGCGAAUAAUGAGCCUACCAGCAUAUCCUGGGCCCAACGUUGAUGCUUAACUGCAAGGUUAUUUUCUAUCAUUGUAUAAUAUUUCAAAGCCUAGGCUUUCAUCCUCAUAAGCAGAGUCAUUUCACAAAAGGGAAAGCAAUUUGCUUCUUCCGAUAAUAAAAGCAGACUUCUUCUGCAGAUAACAAGUAUUCUCAUUAUUCUAGCUUAGGCUGAGGUGUAAAAAUUUAAAUAAUGGUCAAUCUAGAAAAUCACUUGAUCAGGAGCUGCUUCAUUCUACUGUAGAUUCUUGUCUUCCAUGGACAUGAGAGAGAGAAUACCAUUGUUUCUCAUAGUGCAGAAGCUUAUUCCACACACAAACACUCUCCUUAGAAGUUGGAUCAUAUAUACUCUCUACUUUUCCUUGCUUGUAUAUAUCAAAUGUGUUCUAUUAUAAGAAACCUUUCACAGGUUGCUAUACUUGGAAGUCAUUCGUGCAUUAGUUCUAUAAUGAUCCUUUCAGUGUAGUUAUCAAACACUUUUUUCACAACAAACCUAUUCCUUAAUGAUAAAAGCUUUUAUAUGGGAGGAAGCCAACAAAUCUCCUUAAUGUACAAUUGAAAAGAAUACAGAAAAGACGCCCCAGUUCACUACAAAACUCCUUGGAAAGGAUAUGCCAGGAGAAUGUCAGAAAAUGAAUAAAAUCUGGUGGUGAGUUAAAAGUACGUUCGUGACUUCUGAAGGUAUAGCAAGACUAGCAAGCUAAGAUUAUUUCUAGAUGUCUUUUCCAUCUCCCAAACAGAAUAGACUUCAAUGAUCUUAAGAGGCUGUCUAGAAUCAAGCUUGAAGACUUCAAAAAACUCACUCCAACUUCUUUCAAGGUCGACACCAAGCAUUCUACUGAGACAAAAUGGUUGAUGCAUUUUGCUAAUGAAGCCAUGCCUGUUCCAUUCAAAAAGUCACUAGAGAAGGGGGGCAAAGAAUCCAGCCAAGCCAAGAAAUUAAAAAGGAUACUCUUCAAGUCACCCCCAAAAAAAUCUCUGAAUAUAUUUCCUCCAAUGGAAGAUUAUCUGCCUGGUGUUUCAAAAUUUCCAGAAAAAAGACAGACAGUACUAUUCCACAGAAUCCUAGCUCGAUUUCUGAAGGGUGAAAAACCCAGGUGCUGUUUGAAACCACUCAAUGUAAACAACAAUGGAACUAGAAAUGCAGAACUUUGCUUGUAUUCUAA
Non-coding RNA from Benincasa hispida (wax gourd), 3210 nucleotides. NCBI's taxonomy places the organism in Eukaryota, Viridiplantae, Streptophyta, Magnoliopsida, Cucurbitales, Cucurbitaceae. The record is from RefSeq and is a predicted model, not a curated record.